GGACCUGACUGCUAUCGGAUUGAUACUAAGCCAUGUGAGUCAUUGUAGCAAUACAAGGCAGACGGCUCAGUAACACGUAGCCAAUCUACCCUAUGGACGGGGAUAACCUCGGGAAACUGAGGAUAAACCCCGAUAGAUCAUUAUGCCUGGAAUGGUUAAUGGUUCAAAUGAUUCGUCGCCGUAGGAUGGGACUGCGGCCUAUCAGCUUGUUGGUGAGGUAAUGGCCCACCAAGGCUAUUACAGGUACGGGCUCUGAGAGGAGAAGCCCGGAGAUGGGUACUGAGACACGGACCCAGGCCCUAUGGGGCGCAGCAGGCGAGAAACCUUUGCAAUGUGCGCAAGCACGACAAGGUUAAUCCGAGUGUUUCCCGCUAAAGGAAUCUUUUGUUAGUCCUAAAAACACUAGCGAAUAAGGGGUGGGCAAGUUCUGGUGU
RNAcentral lists this ribosomal RNA (434 nucleotides) under uncultured archaeon. Its description in RNAcentral is "bacterial SSU rRNA". It matches the Rfam family "Archaeal small subunit ribosomal RNA", at positions 19 to 458 of the family's 1478-position model. The record is from RNAcentral.